UGGCAUACGGCUCAGUAACACGUAGUCAACAUGCCCAGGGGACGAGGAUAACCUCGGGAAACUGAGGAUAAACCUCGAUAGGCCAUGAUUUCUGGAAUGAUUCUUGGCUCAAACCUAUAUGGCCCCUGGAUUGGACUGCGGCCGAUCAGGCUGUUGGUGAGGUAAUGGCCCACCAAACCUAUUACCGGUACGGGCUCUGAGAGGAGGAGCCCGGAGAUGGGCACUGAGACAAGGGCCCAGGCCCUAUGGGGCGCAGCAGGCGCGAAACCUCUGCAAUAGGCGAAAGCUUGACAGGGUUACUCUGAGUGAUUUCCGCUAAGGGAAUCUUUUGGCACCUCUAAAAAUGGUGCAGAAUAAGGGGUGGGCAAGUCUGGUGUCAGCCGCCGCGGUAAUACCAGCACCCCGAGUGGUCGGGACGAUUAUUGGGCCUAAAGCAUCCGUAGCCGGUCCUGCAAGUCUUCCGUUAAAUCCAGCUGCUCAACAGAUGGGCUGCGGGAGAUACUACAGGGCUAGGAGGCGGGAGAGGCAAGCGGUACUUUAUGGGUAGGGGUAAAAUCCGCUGAUCCAUAGAAGACCACCAGUGGCGAAGGCGGCUUGCCAGAACGCGCUCGACGGUGAGGGAUGAAAGCUGGGGGAGCAAACCGGAUUAGAUACCCGGGUAGUCCCAGCUGUAAACGAUGCAGACUCGGUGAUGGGUUGGCCUCGCGCCUGCCCAGUGCCGCAGGGAAGCCGUUAAGUCUGCCGCCUGGGGAGUACGGUCGCAAGACUGAAACUUAAAGGAAUUGGCGGGGGAGCACCACAAGGGGUGAAGCCUGCGGUUCAAUUGGAUUCAACGCCGGA
Molecule: ribosomal RNA, 840 nt
Filed under: uncultured archaeon
Lineage: Archaea
Description: bacterial SSU rRNA
Rfam family: Archaeal small subunit ribosomal RNA
Source: RNAcentral